RNAcentral lists this unclassified non-coding RNA (361 nucleotides) under Hevea brasiliensis (rubber tree). Lineage: Eukaryota; Viridiplantae; Streptophyta; Magnoliopsida; Malpighiales; Euphorbiaceae. The record is from RNAcentral.
UUGGAAGCAGUUGAAAUACUUGAACAAACGGCACUUGCAGAAGAGCUUCCUGCAGAAGUGGACCUUUCAAAGCAUUGAUUGUCUGGUUUAACAAGUGCAAAUGUUGGAUCACAAGAUACACCAUUAGGUAACAGCUUUGUCAUCUUUUGCCCUUCCCCAUCAGCCUUGGUGGUUUCUGAAAGGCAUAAAUUGGAGAUUGAACUUGAGCUUUGAACUUCAUCAUCACUCUUCUCCAUUUGAAGUUCAUACUUGUGUUUGUGAUGAUCCUGCUCGCCUUGUGACCAGUUAUCUCCAAUCUGUCUUCCAAUAACUGCAGAAUCAAAAGCUUCUUCACUUUUUGAAAUAUUAAUUGAAAUAUUUA